This is a long non-coding RNA of Haliotis rubra (blacklip abalone), 1626 nucleotides long. RefSeq lists it as uncharacterized. NCBI's taxonomy places the organism in Eukaryota, Metazoa, Mollusca, Gastropoda, Lepetellida, Haliotidae. The transcript is spliced from 2 exons. The record is from RefSeq and is a predicted model, not a curated record.
AAGCAGGAACCUGAUUUUGACUGAUCAAUGGAUUGGUCUCCAUGUCCAACGAUUCAUGUGCAAUUGCCGCCUUUGAUGUUAAGAUUUGGACACAUGAAGAUCCGAUUCGUUACGUCUGUUAUAUCACAAACGUCAAUGUCAGUAUCAUCUUGGUAAACGUCAGUAUUUAUUCGUAGAUGUUAGUACAUUCUCGUAGAUGAUGGUCUUUUCUACAUAGAUGAAGGUAUCAGUAUGUAGAAGGAAAUUGUUAUCAAUGUAGUUCCGGGUCGCUUUUAUGUAACCCUAUUAGACUUUGUCACUAAUAUGUCCAUAUCAUUGUAUGAAUUUCACACUGUGAUGUUUGUACAUGAGUUUUGUGGAUAAACACUUGAGAAAACACAUUACGAAUGUAAAGCUUCCAGGAUUGAUUUAAAUCCAUUGUGCUUGUUAUGAACAUAUAUAUUCAUAGUUAUCUUACCCCACACUUAUAUGUCGUUUUCCAACUGGCUGAGCGCUUUUCUAUUAUUUUCAAUGUACCCCGCUUACAAGCUAGUAGACAGUUUCUACGUUACCCGCUGGAGAUGCCGAAGAGGGGGAAUUUGUUUCUUCGUGUUAGUAAAAAUUUAUCUCGAAUAAUUGAGCCCCGUAUGAUGUUUGGAAAAUACCGAUAUUUUGCGAAUGCAAAUCAAUGGAAGGGAGAUAACCCUAAAUGUGUUUUUCUUGUCUGUCCUUGUCGGUAUUGGCUAACUUUCUCUGGUACUCCUUAUUAUACUCCAAUACCCGUGCUUCAAACAGUUCAAAAUUAACAUUGAGAUGUUCGGUAUGAUAAAUACGUUGUUCACUAGUCCCUUGGGCACAUGGGUUAGUGUACUCAACCCAUGUACCCCUCGUGAUCAGUGAACAACUUAUAAUUUUAGUACAUCCGAGUAUAUGUAGGUGUUUCCUACCUAGAUGCAGGUAUCAUCGAUGUGGAAGUAAACUGUCAUCUAUGCAGUUGUUUCUGUGUUAUGAACUUUUUAGACUGUGGCACUAAUAUAUUUCCAUGUUAGUGUAUGACCUUCAGACAGACAGAUUGUAUGACCUUCACACUGUGAUGUUUGUACAUGAGUUUUGAAUCGUUGCAUUGUUUAAAACCCACUGUCCAUGCUAUUCUAAAAUAUAUCACUAACAGAUUUUCUAAGACAACUUUAUUUGCUUUAUAGCGUUUUGAAUACAUUAACACACUUGCAAUUGAAUUGUCAAUAUAGUUUGCUCCCAUUAAUAACACAAACGAAGUCGUAUCAAAACUCCGUGAUCACGCAUUUCUUCUGUAUGCCAGUGAAUGAGUAAAUCUUCAGGAGUAUUACACAUAUUCGUAGCUUAAAACAUCAGGUUAUCCAUUAUCACAAUAAUCAGUAAAAAAUGACAUUCAAAAUUCAAAAUCUAGAUCUUAUCAUACAAUUUAAUUUCCUUUAGAUAUGUUAAGCUUAAAUAGUUAAAAACGGCAUAGUAAGGCCCAACAUUUGUGUGAACAGUAUAAACAUCAUUGGCAAAGGGGCGAAACGUCCACAUAAUCCAAGGAACGCUGUUUGAGAGUAGCAGUGCAGUAGCAAGGAAUACAUAGAGGGGGGUCUUCUCACUUGUAUAAAAGAGAGUGAGUAUAAUGGC